AAUCCUUAGUAGUUUAAUUUACAUUAGAAUAAUAAUUUGUGGUAUUAUAGGUAUAUUUUUUAUCAGGAUUA
This 71-nucleotide transfer RNA is filed under the name Hypselosoma matsumurae. Its description in RNAcentral is "tRNA-His". Lineage: Eukaryota; Metazoa; Arthropoda; Insecta; Hemiptera; Schizopteridae. The record is from RNAcentral.